RNAcentral lists this transfer RNA (86 nucleotides) under Actinostachys pennula. RNAcentral's name for it is "tRNA-Leu". It matches the Rfam family "tRNA". From Rfam's summary of the family: Transfer RNA (tRNA) molecules are approximately 80 nucleotides in length. Their secondary structure includes four short double-helical elements and three loops (D, anti-codon, and T loops). Lineage: Eukaryota; Viridiplantae; Streptophyta; Polypodiopsida; Schizaeales; Schizaeaceae. The record is from RNAcentral.
AGGGAUAUGGCAAAAUGGUCGACGCUGCGAACUCAGAAUCUGCUGGUCCUCGCGAGACUGUGAGGGUUCGAGUCCCUUUAUACCCA